GAAUUGAAGAGUUUGAUCAUGGCUCAGAUUGAACGCUGGCGGCAGGCUUAACACAUGCAAGUCGAA
RNAcentral lists this ribosomal RNA (66 nucleotides) under Haemophilus influenzae. RNAcentral's name for it is "partial 16S ribosomal RNA". It matches the Rfam family "Bacterial small subunit ribosomal RNA", at positions 1 to 66 of the family's 1533-position model. Lineage: Bacteria; Pseudomonadati; Pseudomonadota; Gammaproteobacteria; Pasteurellales; Pasteurellaceae. The record is from RNAcentral. RNAcentral also lists the same sequence under 1 other name.